Physeter macrocephalus (sperm whale) is the source of this 2175-nucleotide long non-coding RNA. RefSeq lists it as uncharacterized. The record is from RefSeq and is a predicted model, not a curated record. Lineage: Eukaryota; Metazoa; Chordata; Mammalia; Artiodactyla; Physeteridae. The transcript has 5 exons.
UUUUGAAAGCAGUGUCACCGAAUGAGCAGGUGGCUCAGAGAGCACGAGUUUCUCUGGUUUUGCAGAUAAGGAAGCGGGUUUGGCCCAAAUGGAACCGGCCCAGUCCCCCCGCACUCCCUUGCUUACCCGCCUCGCUCCCGCCCCUCCCCCCCAUCCCCCGUUCUUUGCCCUCGCCUCACUCACUCCAGCCGUUGCACUAUUUUUAUCUGGUGGCUUAGGACUUGAAACAAUGCAUUAAAAACGGCAGAGCUGGGAGAGCUAACCCCACCUUCGCCAGCAAGUGAGGGUGUGUCUUUAGCGAGUUGCUUCAUCUCUUGGGAAGCGGGGAGUGCAACAGGGGGUAACCGCAGGUGCGCCCCGAGGCCGCGGGACUCGCGUGCGUGGAAGGCAGGUCUGCUCACCGCUGUCCUUUGCUGAGCCUUGGUAAAGUGCGAGCCCUACUCAAAGCCCAAGCUUCGUUCCUACGCCACACUGCUGCGAAAGCUGAGUCGGAAAACCUGCACGUUCUCACGCCCCCCCGACCCCCCAGGCCUUGCCUGCCCUCAAUCAAAGGGAAUGAUUGAUACUACUUGCCCUUGGUGGUUCUUUAAGACCACAGUUUCCAUUACCAACAGAGAUGGUUUUCAAAGUCUGGUGGCGGAAUUGAAGCCUUCAAAAGAAGGACUAAUCCGAAGCCCGACAUGUAAAACAGUGGAGGCUGGACUGCAACGAGAGGCCUGGCAAGUGUGAAGCCCUUGGGCUCCGCAGGGCACAGUUGGAAAAUCUCUGGCCUGUAGGAUAAAGUGGUCACUCUUUCUUGGGCGGCUGUAAUUUUCUGCCUCUGCUCACCCUUUGAGGACUUUCCCCCAGCCAAGGCCUUACCCUCAGCCCACUGACCUUGUUAACACACAUCCUCCCAGCGUGACCUCAUCCAAAUGGCCACCUAACACAUCAACAAGGUUGGUUCCGCUGGCAAGGAAGAAGGGGAGGAGGGCAGAGUGUACCACGGCCAGGAAUAAUCUGGCCCCUGCUUUCCUCUCCAUCUCCAGCUCCUGCUCUUUCCCCGCAUGUAACCUUCUCUCUCGGGUAACUCCAAGUAUCUCCCAUUUUUAGACAUUUUAAGCUCUGCUUGAUAUGUAGUAUAUUAAAUUAACUAUUGCCGAGAAGCAAAUCCCCCAGAACUUUUUCAUGGCUUACAAAACCAGUAAUCACUUAUAUGACUCUCGGUUCUGGCUUAGGUUCCCUCAUAAGACCACAGUUAAGAUGUUGGCCAGGCCUGCAGUCACCACUGCGGCUGGAGGAUUCCCUGCUGAGAUGACUUAGUCACCUGACUGGAGGGGUCCGUGAGCCCCACCGGCUUCCUCGUCCUUCAUUCUCCUCUCAACCCACUGCAGCCUGGCUGCCAUGUGACACACUCUAUCACAAAGGUCUCUAGGGUUCUCCUGCCCACACCACCCUGGAGAAAAUCUACAGUUGAAUUCCACAGGACGGUCAUCUUGCUGGCAUCUCUGGGACUGACCAUUAGCACGUGGACCAGAAUGUAGUCUUUCUGAAGCCACCGGUCAUCCAGCAAUCAAGAAGCCUCAAAGAGCUAACGUGCUGCUCAAGCGAAGGAUUCAGGAUGCUGAGGAAGGCUUGAAGGGAAACGGUUGCAGGAUAUAAGGGCAGAGAGGGAAGAAUGUGAUGCUGGCGUGGUCAGGCCGAGGAAAAUACCAGCUGUGUGUGGACUGAGGUUCAAGCUCUAUGUCACAGAAACCACUUAAAAUUUUAUUCUUUAAUUAGCAACCUUGGAGAGGAAAGGACAUCAGGAAUUAAAGGCAGAGGCAGAGAACCGAAACCAGCUGGGUUUUCCUUGUUAGGCUGGAGCAGAGUUUAAACCAGGGCAGAUCCCCUCCAGCUCUGGCCUCUGGCUGCAGCCUCCUCUCUACAUCCUGGUCCCAGGCCUGUCAUUGGAUCCUCUGGGCUCUGAUCCAAGUCUUUAACCCACAUGCAACUGGAUGGCAAGAAGUAGUUUGCUCGGAAGUCUGAUUGAGCACAUCUUCCUCACCUCCUAAGAGCUUGGGUGAAGUUUCUCUGCCUAAGGUAAAUGCAGCUUGUGAAAUGUUUCAGGUGGGAUUAGAAUGACAGAACUGCUGUUGUUUAUUAAUUUCCCUGAGUUGGAGCCAUGUUCCCUACCACCUGACAUGCCAUCACCUG